RNAcentral lists this ribosomal RNA (492 nucleotides) under uncultured bacterium. RNAcentral's name for it is "partial 16S ribosomal RNA". It matches the Rfam family "Bacterial small subunit ribosomal RNA", at positions 29 to 507 of the family's 1533-position model. The record is from RNAcentral.
AGUGAACGCUGGCGGUAGGCCUAACACAUGCAAGUCGAGCGGCAGCACAGUAAGAGCUUGCUCUUACGGGUGGCGAGUGGCGGACGGGUGAGGAAUACAUCGGAAUCUACUUUUUCGGGGGGGAUAACGUAGGGAAACUUACGCUAAUACCGCAUACGACCUACGGGUGAAAGCAGGGGAUCUUCGGACCUUGCGCGAUUGAAUGAGCCGAUGUCGGAUUAGCUAGUUGGCGGGGUAAAGGCCCACCAAGGCGACGAUCCGUAGCUGGUCUGAGAGGAUGAUCAGCCACACUGGAACUGAGACACGGUCCAGACUCCUACGGGAGGCAGCAGUGGGGAAUAUUGGGCAAUGGGCGCAAGCCUGAUCCAGCCAUACCGCGUGGGUGAAGAAGGCCUUCGGGUUGUAAAGCCCUUUUGUUGGGAAAGAACAGCAGCAGGUUAAUACCCCGCUGUUCUGACGGUACCCAAAGAAUAAGCACCGGCUAACUUCGUG